GACGAAAGUCUGAUGGAGCAACGCCGCGUGAGCGAAGAAGGCCUUCGGGUCGUAAAGCUCUGUUGUUAGGGAAGAACAAGUAUCGGAGUAACUGCCGGUACCUUGACGGUACCUAACCAGAAAGCCACGGCUAACUACGUGCCAGCAGCCGCGGUAAUACGUAGGUGGCAAGCGUUGUCCGGAAUUAUUGGGCGUAAAGCGCGCGCAGGCGGUCCUUUAAGUCUGAUGUGAAAGCCCACGGCUCAACCGUGGAGGGUCAUUGGAAACUGGGGGACUUGAGUGCAGAAGAGGAAAGCGGAAUUCCACGUGUAGCGGUGAAAUGCGUAGAGAUGUGGAGGAACACCAGUGGCGAAGGCGGCUUUCUGGUCUGUAACUGACGCUGAGGCGCGAAAGCGUGGGGAGCAAACAGGAUUAGAUACCCUGGUAGUCCACGCCGUAAACGAUGAGUGCUAAGUGUUAGGGGGUUUCCGCCCCUUAGUGCUGCAGCUAACGCAUUAAGCACUCCGCCUGGGGAGUA
Molecule: ribosomal RNA, 517 nt
Filed under: uncultured bacterium
Lineage: Bacteria
Description: bacterial SSU rRNA
Rfam family: Bacterial small subunit ribosomal RNA
Source: RNAcentral